This 539-nucleotide ribosomal RNA is filed under the name Scopulariopsis brumptii. RNAcentral's name for it is "eukaryotic LSU rRNA". It matches the Rfam family "Eukaryotic large subunit ribosomal RNA", at positions 50 to 595 of the family's 3401-position model. Lineage: Eukaryota; Fungi; Ascomycota; Sordariomycetes; Microascales; Microascaceae. The record is from RNAcentral.
GCGGAGGAAAAGAAACCAACAGGGAUUGCCCCAGUAACGGCGAGUGAAGCGGCAGCAGCUCAAAUUUGAAAUCUGGUCCCCUUGCGGGGCCCGAGUUGUAAUUUGAAGAGGAUGCUUCUGGCAAGGUGCCUUCCGAGUUCCCUGGAACGGGACGCCGCAGAGGGUGAGAGCCCCGUACGGUAGGACGCCGAGCCUCUGUGAAGCUCCUUCGACGAGUCGAGUAGUUUGGGAAUGCUGCUCAAAAUGGGAGGUAAACCCCUUCUAAAGCUAAAUACCGGCCAGAGACCGAUAGCGCACAAGUAGAGUGAUCGAAAGAUGAAAAGCACUUUGAAAAGAGAGUUAAAAAGCACGUGAAAUUGUUGAAAGGGAAGCGCUUGCGACCAGACUCGCGCCCGUCGGAUCAGCCGUCGCUUGUCGGCGGCGCACUCCGGCGGGCUCGGGCCAGCAUCAGUUCGCCUGGGGGGAGAAAGGCGGCAGGAAUGUGGCUCCUCGGAGUGUUAUAGCCUGCCGUGUAAUACCUCCGGGCGGACUGAGGACCG